This is a long non-coding RNA of Cyprinodon variegatus (sheepshead minnow), 276 nucleotides long. RefSeq lists it as uncharacterized. The record is from RefSeq and is a predicted model, not a curated record. Lineage: Eukaryota; Metazoa; Chordata; Actinopteri; Cyprinodontiformes; Cyprinodontidae. The transcript is spliced from 3 exons.
AGAUCUGCUGCUCUAUGUGGGUCUGGUUCUUUCCAUCCUGAUCAUCAUACUAGCAGCAGCUCUGCUGAUUUUUUUCAAGAAAAGAAGCUUUGGUCCACAGAAAGUGAAAACAGAGUUUGCUGAUACUGCAAUGGUCGACAGAGUUUAUGAGGAGAUCAGAGACCAGGACAGAGAAAACAAACCACCUCCUGAGGAAUUAGCUUCAGUUGAUGUUUACGCCAAACCCUGCAACCCAAACUCAGCUGAAAGCAACGAUAUAUACAGCCUCGCCAGCAG